This 497-nucleotide ribosomal RNA is filed under the name uncultured bacterium. RNAcentral describes it as "partial 16S ribosomal RNA". It matches the Rfam family "Bacterial small subunit ribosomal RNA", at positions 28 to 507 of the family's 1533-position model. The record is from RNAcentral.
GAUGAACGCUGGCGGCGUGCCUAAUACAUGCAAGUCGAGCGAACAGACGCGGAGCUUGCUCCUCUGAUGUUAGCGGCGGACGGGAGAGUAACAUGUGGAUAACUUACCUACAAGACUGGGAUAACUUCGGGAAACUGGUGCUAAUACCGGAUACUAUAUUGAACCGCAUGGUUUAAUAGUGUCAGACGGUUUUGCUGUCACUUAUAGAUGGCUCCGCGCUGCUUUAGCUAGUUGGUAGGGUAACGGCUUCCCAAGGCAGCGGUGGGUAGCCGACCUGCGAGAGUGUACGGGCACACUGGGGCUGAGACACCGUCCAGACUCCUACAGGAGGCAGCGAUAGGGAAGCGUCGGCGAUGGGCGGAAGCCUGCCCGAGCGGCGCCGCGUGGAUGAAGAAGGUCUGCGGGUCGUAUGACUCUGUUAUUAGUGAAGAACAAAUGUAUAAGUAACGAUGCUCGUCGUGACGGUACCUGAUCAAAAAGCCACGGCUAACUACGUG